UUAUUGCAGUGUCCUGAUAAUGCUGGUUCUGCAUUUUUUAAUUAUAAACAUACUCACAGCAUCGUAUUGCUAGGGAUUUGUGACGCCAAUUACCUGUUUACACUCGUCGACAUUGGUGCCUAUGGUCGACGUAGCGAUGGUGGAAUUUUCAAAGACUCACUAAUGGGCCAGAAGUUUAAUGAGAAAAAACUGAACGUACCAAAACCCAAAUCACUGUCUGUUGAUAGAAUGCCUUUGCCAUAUGUUCUCGUAGGCGAUGAAGCAUUCCACUUGACUGAUUAUUUACUCCGACCUUAUCCUGGAAAAAGAGGUCUUACCCCAGAUCAAAACGUUUUCAACUACCUUCUCAGCCGUGCUCGAAGAACAGUAGAAAAUGCUUUCGGAAUUUUAGUUAGUGGAGAAUUAAAAAAAAACCUAUUGAAACUACUGUAGAUAAUACAAUAAACAUGGUCCACACCAUCGUAUGUCUCCAUAACUGGCUUCGAAAACGUGAUGAUCGAAACCAAUACAUUUCACCAAACAUGGUCGAUCAAUAUGGUCCUAAUGGUUUUAUUCCCGGACUUUGGAGACAGGAAAUGGAGAAUUCGGCAUUACAAGACAUUAGUGUACGUGGUAAUAAUAAUAAUAAUCGAUAUGCCGCAACUAUUAGAGAUGAAUUUUGUGAUUUUUUCACUGGGGAAGGAGCUGUUCCGUGACAGUAUAAUCGUGACUAA
Ooceraea biroi (clonal raider ant) is the source of this 713-nucleotide RNA transcript. RefSeq lists it as uncharacterized. Lineage: Eukaryota; Metazoa; Arthropoda; Insecta; Hymenoptera; Formicidae. The record is from RefSeq and is a predicted model, not a curated record.